AUUGAACGCUGGCGGCAGGCCUAACACAUGCAAGUCGAACGAGUGGCGGACGGGUGAGUAAUGUCUGGGAAACUGCCCGAGGGAGGGGGAUAACUACUGGAAACGGUAACUAAUACCGCAUACCAUCGGAUGUGCCCGGAUGGGGUUAGCUAGUAGGGGGGGUAACGGCGCACCUAGGCGACGAUCCCUAGCUGGGCUGAGAGGAUGACCAGCCACACUGGAACUGAGACACGGUCCAGACUCCUAAGGGAGGCAGCAGUGGGGAAUAUUGCACAAUGGGCGCAAGCCUGAUGCAGCCAUGCCGCGUGUAUGAAGAAGGCCUUCGGGUUGUAAAGUACUUUCAGCGAGGAGGCGUUACUCGCAGAAGAAGCACCGGCUAACUCCGUGCCAGCAGCCGCGGUAAUUC
Molecule: ribosomal RNA, 406 nt
Filed under: uncultured bacterium
Lineage: Bacteria
Description: partial 16S ribosomal RNA
Rfam family: Bacterial small subunit ribosomal RNA
Source: RNAcentral